GACGAACGCUGGCGGCGUGCUUAACACAUGCAAGUCGAACGGAAAGGCCCUGCUUUUGUGGGGUGCUCGAGUGGCGAACGGGUGAGUAACACGUGAGUAACCUGCCCUUGACUUUGGGAUAACUUCAGGAAACUGGGGCUAAUACCGGAUAGGAGCUCCUGCCGCAUGGUGGGGGUUGGAAAGUUUCGGCGGUUGGGGAUGGACUCGCGGCUUAUCAGCUUGUUGGUGGGGUAGUGGCUUACCAAGGGUUGGAAGGGUAGCCGGCCUGGGAGGGUGACCGGCGUCAGUGGGACUGGGAUACGGCCCAGACUCCGACGGGAGGCAGCAGUGGGGAAUAUUGCACAAUGGGCGGAAGCCUGAUGCAGCAACGCCGCGUGCGGGAUGGCGGCCUUCGGGUUGUAAACCGCAUUCGCCUGUGACGAAGCGGGAGUGACGGUAAUGGGUAAAGAAGCACCGGCUAACUACGUG
This 468-nucleotide ribosomal RNA is filed under the name uncultured bacterium. RNAcentral's name for it is "partial 16S ribosomal RNA". It matches the Rfam family "Bacterial small subunit ribosomal RNA", at positions 28 to 507 of the family's 1533-position model. The record is from RNAcentral.